This 1899-nucleotide unclassified non-coding RNA is filed under the name Leishmania donovani. Its description in RNAcentral is "gene:LdHU3.35.4600(CDS-product:acyl_transferase-l ike_protein_putative)". The record is from RNAcentral. Lineage: Eukaryota; Euglenozoa; Kinetoplastea; Trypanosomatida; Trypanosomatidae.
CUGACGAAGGGGAAAAUGCGAAACGCCUUGAUCUUCUCGGGUCAAGGGGCACAUGCCAAGGGCAUGUGUCUUUCCCUCCUUGAUGACCCCGCGGUUGUGCAGGUAUGGGAACGCAUGACAGAUUGUAUGAUGCGCAAUUACGGCAUCUCACUGCAGCACAUCAUCCAAGAAAACCCAAAGAAAGUAGCGGCGCGUAGCGACGCUUUUGUUGUCGAUGAAGUCUGCAAGCGGCCCUGCACAGAGGUGCUGAAUAUGAAAGAGUCCACACGAUGCACUCACGCGAUCACACACCCAGACGGUGUGAUGCAGUUAACGUACCUAACGCAGCCCUGUGUUCUCGCCGCACAACUUCUUGCAUACGAAAAGUUGAAGCAUGACAAUCCACAGGUAUACAAUAGGCAAAUUUCCUGCAUCGCCGGGCAUAGCCUAGGUGAAUUUACCGCGCUUACAGCUCUCGGUGUCUUUAGUCCCGAGACCGCUCUUAAUUUGACUUUUAAGCGUGGUCUGCUCAUGGAGCAGGCUUGCGAUGGUGUCCCGCGCGGAAAUAGAAAACUAUACGCCUGCAGUCCUCAGCGAGCAAAUCUCAGCGACGACAGCGAGACGGCAGACCGAGUUUUUUUCGCGCUUCUUGAGGAGGUUGCACAAUCUCUUGCGCACACAUCCUCAUUCGUGGAAGUGGUGAACAACAACAUCAGGCAUCAGCAAUACGUCGUGGCUGGAGACCUUGUUGGGCUAGCUGUGCUGGGAAAAUGCCUGGAUCCGCAAUACCGGGCAAACUGUGCCAGCGGUGAGGAUGUUGAAUCCCUUGUAAGCCAUGCUCUCACAUCCGUCCGCAUCGACAACAGAGAUGGUGUGGCAAGAGAUCCGAAUAUUGCCCACGAUGUGGAUUUCGCAACGUCAUCAGCACAAAAGUACGGCUCAAGAUCAACGUUUCGCCGGUUCAUCAAGGGCGCGGACGACGGAUUUACGCCGUCACUAGACGAACUUACGCACCUCACCUUGGAGGAGGACGGUCGCAGUGGCCUUAAGAAGAAAUCAUGGUUUGUUCCUCUGAUCAUGGAAGUUCCAUUUCAUUCGAGCAAGCUUCGGCGCGCCAUGGAUGCGUUUCUUCCUGUCCUGCGCACAGCCCUGCCAGACGAGGCGGCACUUCGUGAGCUGUUAUCGAUUUCCAAGGACGGAAUUCUCGAUGAGGAGCGCCGCGUCCACCCUCUGUGGAUCACGAAUUUGACGGGGAGGGUAUUUGACCCGUUGAACAGGGCUUUUCAGCAGAGUGCACUUGAAUGCAUGAAGAGGGCGAAUAUUGGCGAAAUCCGCCACAAAGGCCGAUUUGAGAGCACUCUUGUGGUCGAUACAUUUAACAGCGGCGCCGCGGAAGGAAAUGUGAGGGAGAUGACGGCUGCAGUGCUGGCAGCUCAGCUCGCUCACCCUGUACAAUGGAUAACAGCAAUGGAAGAAGUUGUUGUGGCGCAAGGAUGCUCACACAUUCAAGAAGCGUCGCCGAAAAGGAACACAUCGGAAAUGUUUAGGCGCACUUCGUUUUUCUCUGAAGAUGACCGAAGCCGCAGCAUUUCACUUCAAGUGUCUUCCUUUCCAAGUGAAGCACCGCUUUUCUAGUUUCGGGGUUUUCAGUUCUUUUUUUUUGAGAAGUUGCGCAUCUUCGGCCUCAUGGGUUUAUUUCAAAGUUUGAGACUUUGUCGUGUACACUUCAAUAUAGGGAUAUAAAUAUGUCUGAAAUGUAAGUCUAUAGGGGCUUCAUUUUAUAUUGUCCCUGACUUCGCAGCUCCACAAAAGCACCUGUGGAAAAAAAAAAGACAUGUUUUUCCCGCGCUUUCUUUAUAAUGACGCUGCUUCGGUGGCCUUUUUGUGUUGCCGAUUCUCGAGACUUUCGCUGAAGUGCAG